GGGGUUGACUGGAUUUGACAGCGUGUAGAGGUGGUAAGUAAGCAUGCAGAGCAAUGAUGGCUAAUCUCUUUAAUCCUUGACAUCGAAAUUUCAAAUGGCGAAAAUUCUUACGCUCUUGCUGCAUAACUGAAGUACAGUAGGUUUGCUUAAUCUUCGUCACAGUGGCGGAGACAAGACAUCACCCGAUUGCCCGGUUCCGAGACGUUUCGAUACGGUGGUGCUCAGAAAUUCGGAAAUAGGAGACAGCACGCUACGGGCUGAAUCCGAAAUUUAGUAGAUAAGCUAUGAGUUGGUGGUCUCGAGCCUGCUCAUAGUCGAAAACCAAGUCAAGACUAAGCAUGUAGAAAGCUUAUUAGUUCCACGUUUGGACGAGGGUUCGAUUCCCUCCAGCUCCACU
RNAcentral lists this transfer-messenger RNA (397 nucleotides) under fish gut metagenome. It matches the Rfam family "transfer-messenger RNA". From Rfam's summary of the family: Bacterial tmRNA, also known as 10Sa RNA or SsrA, is named for its dual tRNA and mRNA-like properties. The record is from RNAcentral.